GCCGCUGUAGCUCAAUUGGUAGAGCGUCAGACACAUUAUCUGAAGGUCGCAGGUUCAACCCCAGCCGGCGGCA
Rhipicephalus sanguineus (brown dog tick) is the source of this 73-nucleotide non-coding RNA. NCBI's taxonomy places the organism in Eukaryota, Metazoa, Arthropoda, Arachnida, Ixodida, Ixodidae. The record is from the annotation of a RefSeq genome assembly.